GAAGCCGAGCGCAUCUGGAUUCCCACCAUGGCCUGGGCCCCUCUGCUCCUCACGCUGCUCACUUACUGCUCAGGUUCUCUCGCCCAGUACGUGCUGACUCAGCCGCCUUCAGUGUCUGUGUCUCUAGGGCAAAAGGCUCAACUCACCUGCUCAGGGAACAACAUUGGGGACAAGAAUGUGCAGUGGUACCAACAGAAACCUGGCAGCGCCCCCGUACUCGUUAUAUAUGGUGAUAGCAACAGACCCUCCGGAAUCCCCGAUCGAUUCUCUGGGGCCAACUCCGGUAACACGGCCACGUUAACCAUCACGGGAGUCCAGGUACAGGACGAGGCUGAUUAUUACUGUCAGGUGUGGGAUGAUGACAGCAGCGCUGCUCACAGUGACACAGCCAGACGGGGAAGGAACCCUCAGACCCCUCCCAGCCUCCUGAGAUCCUGCACAACAGCCUGCCUGCGAGCUGGGGCCGAGGCCUGUGACAAGCCCCCACGUGGCACCAGCAGGAAGGGGAAGAGCCUCAGUCUCUGA
Non-coding RNA from Trachemys scripta elegans, 525 nucleotides. The record is from the annotation of a RefSeq genome assembly. Lineage: Eukaryota; Metazoa; Chordata; Testudines; Emydidae.